Molecule: ribosomal RNA, 771 nt
Filed under: uncultured bacterium
Lineage: Bacteria
Description: bacterial SSU rRNA
Rfam family: Bacterial small subunit ribosomal RNA
Source: RNAcentral
AGAGUUUGAUCCUGGCUCAGGACGAACGCUGGCGGCGUGCUUAACACAUGCAAGUCGAACGGAAAGGCCCUUCGGGGUACUCGAGUGGCGAACGGAUGAGUAACACGUGGGUGAUCUGCCCUGCACUUUGGGAUAAGCCUGGGAAACUGGGUCUAAUACCGAAUAUGACCAUGCGCCUCCUGGUGUGUGGUGGAAAGCUUUUGCGGUGUGGGAUGGGCCCGCGGCCUAUCAGCUUGUUGGUGGGGUAAUGGCCUACCAAGGCGACGACGGGUAGCCGGCCUGAGAGGGUGACCGGCCACACUGGGACUGAGAUACGGCCCAGACUCCUACGGGAGGCAGCAGUGGGGAAUAUUGCACAAUGGGCGCAAGCCUGAUGCAGCGACGCCGCGUGAGGGAUGACGGCCUUCGGGUUGUAAACCUCUUUCAGCACAGACGAAGCGCAAGUGACGGUAUGUGCAGAAGAAGGACCGGCCAACUACGUGCCAGCAGCCGCGGUAAUACGUAGGGUCCGAGCGUUGUCCGGAAUUACUGGGCGUAAAGAGCUCGUAGGUGGUUUGUCGCGUUGUUCGUGAAAACUCACAGCUUAACUGUGGGCGUGCGGGCGAUACGGGCAGACUUGAGUACUGCAGGGGAGACUGGAAUUCCUGGUGUAGCGGUGGAAUGCGCAGAUAUCAGGAGGAACACCGGUGGCGAAGGCGGGUCUCUGGGCAGUAACUGACGCUGAGGAGCGAAAGCGUGGGGAGCGAACAGGAUUAGAUACCCUGGUAGUCC